This 205-nucleotide microRNA precursor is filed under the name Oryza nivara. RNAcentral's name for it is "MIR812 microRNA precursor family". It matches the Rfam family "MIR812 microRNA precursor family". Lineage: Eukaryota; Viridiplantae; Streptophyta; Magnoliopsida; Poales; Poaceae. The record is from Rfam by way of RNAcentral.
AAUAGAUAAUACCGUUGAUUUUUUCUCACAUGUUUGACCAUUUGUCUUAUUCAAAAAAAUUACGUAAUUAUAAUUUUUGUUAUAAGUUGUUUUAUCACUCAUGCAUAGUACUUUAAGUGUGAUUUAUAUCUUUUACAUUUGCAUAAAAUUUUUGAAUAAGACGAAUGGUCAAACAUAUGAGAAAAAGUCAACGACGUCAUCUAUU